UUCCGGUUGAUCCUGCCGGACCUGACUGCUAUCGGAUUGAUACUAAGCCAUGCGAGUCAUUGUAGCAAUACAAGGCAUACGGCUCAGUAACGCGUAGUCAACCUAACCUAUGGACGGGAAUAACCUCGGGAAAUUGAGAAUAAUGCCCGAUAGAACAUUAUGCCUGGAAUGGUUUAUGUUCCAAAUGAUUUAUCGCCGUAGGAUGGGACUGCGGCCUAUCAGUUUGUUGGUGAGGUAAUGGCCCACCAAGACUAUUACAGGUACGGGCUCUGAGAGGAGUAGCCCGGAGAUGGGUACUGAGACACGGACCCAGGCCCUAUGGGGCGCAGCAGGCGAGAAAACUUUGCAAUGUGCGAAAGCACGACAAGGUUAAUCCGAGUGGUUUCUGCUAAAGGAACCUUUUGUCAGUCCUAGAAACACUGAUGAAUAAGGGGUGGGCAAGUUCUGGUGUCAGCCGCCGCGGUAAAACCAGCACUUCAAGUGGUCAGGAUGAUUAUUGGGCCUAAAGCAUCCGUAGCCGGCUCUGUAAGUUUUCGGUUAAAUCUGUACGCUCAACGUACAGGCUGCCGGGAAUACUGCAAAGCUAGGGAGUGGGAGAGGUAGACGGUACUCGGUAGGAAGGGGUAAAAUCCUUUGAUCUAUUGAUGACCACCUGUGGCGAAGGCGGUCUACCAGAACACGUUCGACGGUGAGGGAUGAAAGCUGGGGGAGCAAACCGGAUUAGAUACCCGGGUAGUCCCAGCUG
RNAcentral lists this ribosomal RNA (745 nucleotides) under uncultured Nitrososphaerota archaeon. RNAcentral's name for it is "bacterial SSU rRNA". It matches the Rfam family "Archaeal small subunit ribosomal RNA", at positions 1 to 753 of the family's 1478-position model. Lineage: Archaea; Thermoproteati; Nitrososphaerota. The record is from RNAcentral.